AGCCACAGCAACACUGGAUCUGAGCCGCGUCUGCGACCUACCCCACAGUUCACAGCAACUCGGGAGCCUUAACCCACUGAGCGAGGCCAGGGAUCGAACCCGCAACCUCAUGGUUCCGAGUCGAAUUCGUUUCCGCUGGACCACGAUUCCUGGGACUUGCAUUUUAAUCAUGGCACAUGGGCUCAUCAGCUUCUUAGUACACAAGUAUCUGGAAGACUUUGGAUUGAAAAUAUGUAUCCGUCAUAUACAGUUUCAAAGGUUGUCUUUUUCAGAGUAAGCCAUCCAGCCUCCCCCAAAUUAUAGUAAGCUCACUGCGGAGGAGGCUGAAAAAAGGCCAGCAAGAAGGAAUUUGAUGGAACAAAGUGAGAUCGUAAACAGUCUUCCACGAAGAAGGAGUGGAUUACUGGGAUGAAAAGAGCCAGAAAGUCCCAGCUGGGUUCCCACCAGCUCCUUGGGGGAAAAGGUGCCGUUCCUGAGCUUUGGAGCAAGAAUUCCACAUCAAAGGCCCAGGAAUCCGCUCCAAACAACUUGGAGACUCAGAGUCUGCGAAAUCAUUGACAACUGGGUCUUAAUAGCUAACCUUGAUUUCAGGCUUAUUAGGAGCCAGGCACCAUGCCAAGCUUUUUGCCCAGAACACCUCAUUUUUUUCUUCACCACAGCCCUAUUAUUUGACCUGGCUUGCAGAUGGGGAAACUAAGGCUCAGAGACGCCAAGUCAUUGGUCUCAGGUCAUGCUGGUGAGUGGCCCUGCUGGCUUAUCCUGGUCCACAGUCUGAGCGCCUCACUGCUCUGCAUGCUGCUGUUUGAGCUGCAGGGACAUUGUAUUGUGUUGCAUUGUAUUGUGUUGUAUUGCACUGUAUUGUAUUUCAUUGCAUUGCAUUGCGUUUUAAUGGCCACACUCAAGGCAUACGGCAGUGGCUCGGCCAAGGAUUGAAUCCAAGCCUCAACUUCAACCUACACCACAGCUGUAGCAUUACUGGACCCUUUACUGGACUGAAGAUCGAACUCACACAUCUGUAGGCAUCCAAGUUGCUGCAGUCAGAUCCUUAACCCACUGCACCACAGCAGCAACUCCAGUGACUUUUUUAAAAAGAACCACCUUUGGAGUUCCCUUUGUGGCUCAGCAGGUUAAGAACCUGACAUAGUGUCCUAACGAUGCAGGUUCGAUCCCUGGCCUCACCAGUGUGUUAGGAUCUGGCAUUGCUGCAAGGUGUGGAAUGGGCCUCAGCUGCGGCUCUGAUUCAACCCCUUGCCCAGGAACUUCCAUAUGCUGCAGGUGCAGCUGGAAGAGAAUAAAAAAAAAAAAUCUUCAUUUACCUGUGUAUGACUCGGGGGUAGUGGGACGCGUCUUGGACCCACUGCAGGGUGCUGGGUGCCAGGGCCGUGACACAUGUGACUUUGAUGAUGGGCAGGUGGCAGAUUCCCCAGGCUCCCUUUCCUCACGUGUUGAUGAUCUAUUAAGUUUUAAGGAUCCACAAACUAGGAGGCUUAAAACAAUAGAAAUGCACCAUCCCACAGUUCUGGAAGCCAGGAGUCCAAGGUCAAGGUGUUCUCAGGGCUGCACUUCCUCCCAGGGCUCUCGGAGAGGGUCCUUCCUGCCUCUUCCAGCUUCCUUGGCUCUUGGCUGCGUCCCUCCAACCUCAGCCUCUGUCUUCACGUAACAUUCCCCCUCCCCCACCCUGUGUGUCUGGGUCCAAAUUUGCUGCCUCUUAUGAGGAUACCAGUGAUUGGAUCGGAUCCUGAUCCAGCCUGACCUCUUUGGAGUUUGAUUACGUCCAUCAAGAUGGGACCCGGGGUUUAGGGAUUCACCCAGCUCUUUGGGGGCACACAGUGUAACCCGCAACAAGUCCACUCUCGGUUUACCAUUCUGUGGAUUUUUUUUUUUUUCCUUUCAUUCUAUCCCAUCCUUUAAUUGCCGAUACUUUUUUUUUUUCCUUCUUUUUUAAAGCCACACCUGAGGCAUAUGACAGUUCCUGGCCUAGGGGUCAAAUCAGAGCUGCAGCAGCCGGCCUCGACCACAGCCACAGCCACAGCCACACGGGAUCUGAGCUGCAUCUGUGAUCUGCAGCAGCUUGCAGCAAGGCCGGGGAUUGAACCCCGGUCCUCCCAGACACUGUGUCAGGUUCUUAACCCUCUGAGCCACAUCAGGAACUCUUAAUUGCUGAUAAUUUUAAUUUGGCAUUCAAGUGUCAUUUUCAUUUGGUGCUUUUGGUGGUGUGCUGACAUGGAGCCUGUGACAAGAUAGUGUGCCGGGGCUCAGGGCGGGAGGCUGGGGAGGGGAGGAUUUGGGGUUACUUUCUGUAUUUCUGUGUCAGUUUCCUCGCGAGAGUGUAAGUCACUUACUUACAUUUUUAAAGUGUCUCUUGUCCUGUUGCCUUACUUCUAGAAUGGCUGGAAUUAUUGUGUAACCUGGGAAAAGCCCACUUAGAUGAACUCAGAUGGCUAGUAUUUAAACACCUAUGAGUCACAGAUACUCAUGUGGAAAGCGUGCAUUUCAUCGUUUAAAGACCCUGUAAGACAUGUCACCUUUUUUCAAGGGAAUCUGUUUGAUGGGAAAUACACUCCUUUUCCCCUCCAGCAUCCCGGCUGUUUCUUGACCCCUGCCCGACCCCCUCUGCUGUCGGUAGGCAGCCUGACCUAUGGGCCCCCCGUCUCCCCCUAGAAUGAUCGCUGACCCCGUUCCAACGAAAACCAAAAGGGAAGGUCAAGGCAAGCCAUUGGCUUCAGUGACAGUGGCUUGAGUGACUUCUCCUGCGUGGUGGGCCCUGUCGGACCCCAGGAAAGGAAUUGUGAGACUGCAUUUUCCCCUCUUCACAGUGUGUGGGAAGCAUGUCUCUGAUGCUGAAUGGUCCUGGAUUCAGAGUCCGCCUGAGCCGAGGGUGGGGUGGUGACUGCUGACGAGCAGAGGGCAGCAGAGGUAGGUGUGGGAAGAGAACAAGGCACGUCUCCCUUGCACCUCAGAGAGCCUCCUUUUAGGACCAGCAAUGGGCUUUCUGCUUCCCCUUGGCUCCACUGCCACCUGUCACAGAUGCCUCCUUGCACUCGCUUUGUUCUGCUCGCCUAACCCGGGCUAGAGGUUGACACUGGGCCCCAUUGUUUGUUAGUGACAACGGAUACCACCCGGAAGACAGACCACACCUGGGAGGCAGGUGGAUGGGCCACCUGGACCUCUGAGCCCUGUGCCUCCCCUUCGACGGCUGGGUUGUGAGUAAGGGGGCAUGUCCCACGUCCUGGGCUGCUUUCCUAGGCUGCGGAGUCUGUGUGUGACACAGCUUGAAUUGGCGGUCACGUGACUCUCCUUGCUCCUCCCCUGGCCUAUAGAUGGACUAUCUGAUUUUUUUUGCCUGUGGCUACUCAAUAAAAAAUGGUUGCUUUUUGGCUCUGGGAAUUCUCAAAGAGGUAAGAGAUUCUUGGAUUGCCCGCAUCACCAUGUUAAAGAAACAAAACUAGCAGGUGUGGGAGUUCCUGUUGUGGCUCAACCAGUUAAGAAUCCGACUAGUAUCCAUGAGGAUGCGGGUUCAAUCCCCGGUCUUGAUCUGUAGGUUAAGGAUCUGGCGUGGCCAUAAGCUGCAGUGUAGGUUGUGGAUGCAGCUCGGAUCUGGUGUUGGCAUGGCUGUGGUCUAGGCCCCAAGCUGCCGCCCCAAUUUGACCCUUAGCCUGGGAACUUCCACAUGCUGCAGGUGCAGCCCUAAAAAGACAAAACCAACAGGUAUGUGUUUGAGCCGAUGCUUGCUACCUUGAACAGGUCUCAGGUCGGAUGUUUCAGUCUUAUUAUACGGAAUACCAUAUACCUGUACCUAGAAACACAGUCUCAGUGGGCUGGGAACCACCUGAGCUUGUCCGCCCUGCACCCCCCUCCUGCCAGAAAUCAAAGAGAAACACCCACAAGGCAGCUGUGCACCGCAGGGCAGAAGCAUGGAAAGCACUGAAUCAAAAAGUUUUCCUGGAGUUCCCGCCAUGGCUCAGUGGGUUAAGAACCUGACAUAGUUUCCCUAAGGAUGUGGGUUUAAUCCUUGGCCUUGCUCUGUGGAUUAAGGAUCCAGCAUUGCUGCAAGCUGUGGUGUAGGGCACAGAUGCAGCUCGGAUCUAGUGUGGCUAUGGCUGUGUCAUAGACCAGCAGGUAUGACCGCUAAAAACAAAGUUUUCCAUAUAGCCUAUGGUGGGCGGGAUAAUCAGGUCUGACCACUUUUCUUUCCUUCUUUCUUUUUUCUUCUUAGGGCUGUACCCUCUGCAUAUGGAAGUUCCCAGGCUAGGGGAUGUAUCUGAGCUGUAGCCACUGGCCUAUGCCACAGCCACAGCAAUGCAGGAUCCGAGCCACAUCUUUGACCUACACCACAGCUCACAGCAACACCGGAUCCUUAACCCACUGAGUGAGUCCAGGGAUCGGAAUUGCAUCCUCGUGGAUCCCAGUCAGAUUCGUUUCUGCUGCGCCACCACAGGAACUCCUCUGACUGCUUUUCAAAGCAGGAUGUGUGUUACCCAAAGGGAAGCUCUGCUUUCUGAAGCGGUUGUGGAUUCCCCAAGCCUCAGAGGGAGCUCUGUGCUGCCUCCUGGGGAAAUGCAUUAGCUUUUUCCCAUGGGACAAGCCACCUCGGGAGGAGCAAGCGGGUCUGCAUGCUUGUCAGUCUUUGGGAAUUCGGUAUAUCUAGUGCGGAUCCCAGAGAUGGGCUGCUCGCCAAACACUGGAGUGGCUGAGCAAAUUCUUACACCUCUGGGGCCUCAGUGUCCCCCUCUGUCAAUAAGGAGACUUGACGGGCUGCCCCGAGAUGCCUUCUAGAAGCCCUGACACUCAAUGGCUAAAAUCCAUUAUGUUGGUGAGAGCUUCUGAUAGCUCUCAUUCUCAGCAGCUGUAAGCAGGUGCAUCACCUUGGGGGGGCAGUCUCUUAAGGUGUGGAACCCCAUUUAGGCCCCGGGGAGCCGGGAGGCUGUGUGCUGCUGGCUUGAAGGCCACAACUGGAGUCCUUGCUUCUCAGACUGGCCGGCCGCAGGAGCACCUGGUAACCUUGGUUAAAAAUGCAGAUUCCCAGAGCUCCCUUGGGGCGCAGCAGGCUAAGAAUCCAGCGCUGUCAUUUCUGGGGCUCCAGUCGCUGCUGUGGCCCGCGUUGGAUUGCUGCCCUGGGAAUUUGCACACAUGGCAAGCAUAACAAAAAAGAAAAAAAAA
RNAcentral lists this long non-coding RNA (5160 nucleotides) under Sus scrofa (pig). Its description in RNAcentral is "lncRNA (ENSSSCG00005000841.1)". Lineage: Eukaryota; Metazoa; Chordata; Mammalia; Artiodactyla; Suidae. The record is from RNAcentral.